GCUACGCCGGCCCAGACUGGUGUGUGAGAUGGCUGGAUGCGACCGGGCGCCUCUCGGGGCGGCCCCACGCGCUCCCUAGUACCCGUGGGACCCUCGGCCAGCCCCAGAGAUCCUCCACGUCCCCUUUUCGCUGCCCGCGGCUUUUCUGGAACGACACACUGCCUCCCACCGCCUCCCGACGCCAGGCUCGCGCAGGCGUCCGCCAGCGCCCUCCGGCGGCAACCCUGCAAACUGUAACCUGAAAUGCAUUGACACGUGUUGGGAGAGAGGGUUAGGGAGGAAGCCUAGGUGAUGUCAGGUUUCCACACUGAUGACGGAGAUCUUAACCAAGACAGGUCGUGUGGGAGGAGCUCCCACACCCCGGUCCUCGAGAGAACCUGCAGGGACAGCUCCCGGGACGGGACUGAGCUCCGCGGUGGUGACUGCACCUGCCCGCAACUUCCGCUUCUGCUCUCGAAUGUACUUCCUCCAUCUUCCUCCGUGCGGAAACCUCCAUGGGGCUGCCUGGGGCUGCCCGUACAGAAUUAGUCUUCCUCCCGACCCCCAAAUAAAUCUUUUUUGCUGAAUGAACACCUGGCCGACUUUUUAUUUAUGUCCAGCAUAUUUGGGGCUCAUCGGGAGCCAGAGACGACUCCCCCAUAGCUCCAGGGCUGGGGAGCCAACAGGUGUGGCGCCCACAGGCCCAUCUAAGUUCCCUUUUUUCUCCACGGCUCGGGAGCCAAAGGGGGAUCGAGCCUCAACCUGGGCAUGCGCCCUGACCUGGAAUUGAACCAGCCACCUCUUGGUGGGUGGGUUGAUGCUCAAACGCCGAGCCGCACCGCCUGGGCCAUGCCCUCUGUCUUCUUCAUGGUUUACCCCUGUGAAUUGUAGCCAUCGUGGCCUCCCGGAGUCAUGCAGUCCGCUCGGGGCGACAAGCGGGCUCUGCCCGAGUUCUCCCUCCUCGCUGUCCAUCCUGAAAGCUCUCCAAGGAGCAAGCUGGAGCAACCAUUUCCACGUGCUGGAAACAGGUCACGAAGAAGCCCACCCUUUGCCAUCUGGAAGUGAGAACAGACCACGUUUGCAGAACUGCCCGCCGUCACCCACAGCAACACCUCUCCUUCCCGCAGGACGGAGGGACCCGCCUCAGGGAGGGACAGUGACCUGCACGGCCACCCCCCUCGAGACGGAGCCCUUUCCACCUCUGGCUCCGAGGCCAUGAGUGCUCACUUCGGGUCCUUUCCCGUCUGGCGACCUUUG
Molecule: long non-coding RNA, 1236 nt
Organism: Molossus molossus (Pallas's mastiff bat)
Lineage: Eukaryota; Metazoa; Chordata; Mammalia; Chiroptera; Molossidae
Exons: 3
Source: RefSeq, a predicted model, not a curated record